UACAUGUUUAACUUGCUCAUUUUGUUGUUUCUAAAUUAGUUCUGUUAGCUGCUAUUUUUUCCCCUUUUUUUUCUUGGCAUUACUACUAGGUAGGGACAGCUAUUUUGCUGCUUCUGCGUCUAUUGAUUUGUUCCUUUAAAACAUUUGACCAGAUAAUUUUUGAUUUUAUCAGGUGGGACUGCGGGAUGUUCAUGCUAAAGUAUGCAGACUUUUACAGUAGAGGUUUGGACCUCUGUUUUGGACAGGAACACAUGGCAUAUUUCAGGAAGAGGACAGCCAAGGAGAUUCUGAGGCUGAGAGCUGAAUGAAUCAAAGCACACGUAUGGGAAUUUUUUAAACCCUCAACAGGUUGUCACAAACUGGAAUUACAGUUUCAUACUGAUAAGCUACGUGAAUGUGGUUCUUGGAUAUGCCUCUGGCCAUCAUUUGGUUCCAGAAGCAGCACUUGAUUGAGGCAUUAAGUGGAGCCUAUGAACAUUAGUUCCAUCUGCAUGCUCCAGUCAGAGUAUACACAAGCAUUUGUAAACCAAUUAGUGGAAACCUUGAUCGGUGAGAAACGGCAAGAUAUGUUUUUGUUUUAGAGUGCUCUCUUGGUUGAGUGCUAUCAUGCCCUUUUUCAUGUCUUUACCCCUUGAGAGCAGGGCCAAUUAUUUGCAUGUUUGUAGUUCUACUUUUUGCCUUUAUUUUUCCUAUGUAGGGCAUCAACUGUCAUAUAACUCAGAUUUGUAUGGAUCAUUGGUUUUUGAUA
Phoenix dactylifera (date palm) is the source of this 748-nucleotide non-coding RNA. Lineage: Eukaryota; Viridiplantae; Streptophyta; Magnoliopsida; Arecales; Arecaceae. The record is from RefSeq and is a predicted model, not a curated record.